GCUUACGGCCAUACCACCCUGAACACGCCCGAUCUCGUCUGAUCUCGGAAGCUAAGCAGGGUCGGCCUGGUCAGUACUUGGAUGGGAGACCGCCUGGGAAUACCAGGUGCUGUAAGCU
Molecule: ribosomal RNA, 118 nt
Organism: Maylandia zebra (zebra mbuna)
Lineage: Eukaryota; Metazoa; Chordata; Actinopteri; Cichliformes; Cichlidae
Source: Ensembl